Small nuclear RNA from Macaca fascicularis (crab-eating macaque), 59 nucleotides. Its record names the gene U7. It matches the Rfam family "U7 small nuclear RNA". From Rfam's summary of the family: Animal histone pre-mRNAs are spliced by a different mechanism than nuclear pre-mRNAs and self-splicing introns. NCBI's taxonomy places the organism in Eukaryota, Metazoa, Chordata, Mammalia, Primates, Cercopithecidae. The record is from Ensembl.
AAGAGUUACAGCUCUUUUCAAAUUUGUCUAGCAGAUUUUCCAUUUUUUCCCAGAACCAC